AUGUGCGAUUUGAUUAGUUUAGCAACCGUUAAGAGGACACCAGAGAGGAAGAUGACUCUACCACUGGGCCACAGCAGGACUCGGAUGCUCUUGUGUGGGUUCUCUACAAUGAUCAGCAGAACGUUACACACCAACCUUUUCAGCCGCCCUUUAUCCGUGCAGAAACUGGGGAGCAUAGAAUGUGUUGUCAACGUUGUAAGAAAGGAGCACAAGCCGGCUUCAAACAACAGGGGUGUGUUGUCUCGCGGUUCCGAGGCCCCGGCCUGCGAUCGUGGUAGCUGCAUGGCUGCCUCUUUCCACGGGUGCUUGGGAAGAACCACGGGCUCUUGGAAAGAAGCCGCCAGUCCUGGGCUCACGCUGCCCCCUGCCCCGCUCGCAGCUGUCUGUUGCUUUCUUCCCUUUGUGUCUCUGUGCUGUGACUGCUCCUCUUCCUGGAAGAGCAGCAUCGUGGGAGUGAGGGACGCCCUCACCCAGGAUCCAUUCACCCUACGCUGGUUAUUUCCAAAUCAGGCCACGUUCUGAAGUUUUGGAUGGAUGUGGGUUUUUGAGGAAGGGGCACUAUUCAACUGGGAACAACAACAAAGACCGCACGGGGAGCUGGUGCUCUGGUGUAGCAGGAAAAGCCACCACCUGCAAGGCCGGCAUCUCGCACGGGCACUGGCUCACGUCCUGGCUGCACCUUUUCUGACCCACCUCCCUGCUAAUGGCUGGGGAAGAGCAGCAGAGGGUGGAUGGCAAAAGUGCCUGGGCUCCUGCUACCCAUGUGGGAGACCCGGAUGAAGCUCCUGGUUCUUGGCUUCAGCCUGUCGCAGCACGGGCUGUUGUGGCCAUUAGGGAGUGAACCAGCAGGUGGGAGCUCUCUCUGUCUCCCCUCUUUCCCUCUCUCUCUUUCUGUAACUCUGACUUUCAAGUAAAUAAAUAUUUACAAAAGAAUGACCA
RNAcentral lists this long non-coding RNA (939 nucleotides) under Oryctolagus cuniculus (rabbit). Its description in RNAcentral is "lncRNA (ENSOCUG00000032627.1)". Lineage: Eukaryota; Metazoa; Chordata; Mammalia; Lagomorpha; Leporidae. The record is from RNAcentral.